AUUGAACGCUGGCGGCAUGCCUUACACAUGCAAGUCGAACGGCAGCGGGGGAGAAGCUUGCUUUUCCUGCCGGCGAGUGGCGAACGGGUGAGUAAUACAUCGGAACGUGCCCUGUAGUGGGGGAUAACUAGUCGAAAGAUUAGCUAAUACCGCAUACGACCUGAGGGUGAAAGUGGGGGACCGCAAGGCCUCAUGCUAUAGGAGCGGCCGAUGUCUGAUUAGCUAGUUGGUGGGGUAAAGGCCUACCAAGGCGACGAUCAGUAGCUGGUCUGAGAGUACGAUCGGCCACGCUGGGAGUGAGACCCGGCCCAGUGUCCUACGGGAGGCAGCAGGGGGGAAUUUUGGACAAUGGGCGAAAGCCUGAUCCAGCAAUGCCGCGUGUGUGAAGAAGGCCUUCGGGUUGUAAAGCACUUUUGUCCGGAAAGAAAUGGCUCUGGUUAAUACCGGGGGUCGAUGACGGUACCGGAAGAAUAAGGACCGGCUAACUACGUGCCAGCAGCCGCCGUAA
RNAcentral lists this ribosomal RNA (508 nucleotides) under uncultured bacterium. Its description in RNAcentral is "partial 16S ribosomal RNA". It matches the Rfam family "Bacterial small subunit ribosomal RNA", at positions 30 to 523 of the family's 1533-position model. The record is from RNAcentral.